GACGGUACUUGAGGAAUAAGCCACGGCUAAUUCCGUGCCAGCAGCCGCGGUAAUACGGGAGUGGCAAGCGUUAUCCGGAAUUAUUGGGCGUAAAGCGUCCGCAGGCGGCCUUGUAAGUCUGUCGUUAAAGCGUGGAGCUCAACUCCAUUUCAGCGAUGGAAACUACAAGGCUUGAGUGUGGUAGGGGCAGAGGGAAUUCCCGGUGUAGCGGUGAAAUGCGUAGAUAUCGGGAAGAACACCAGUGGCGAAGGCGCUCUGCUGGGCCAUAACUGACGCUCAUGGACGAAAGCCAGGGGAGCGAAAGGGAUUAGAUACCCCUGUAGUCCUGGCCGUAAACGAUGAACACUAGGUGUCGGGGGAAUCGACCCCCUCGGUGUCGUAGCCAACGCGUUAAGUGUUCCGCCUGGGGAGUACGCACGCAAGUGUGAAACUCAAAGGAAUUGACGGGGGCCCGCACAAGCGGUGGAGUAUGUGGUUUAAUUCGAUGCAACGCGAAGAACCUUACCAGGGUUUGACAUCCUGCGAAUCCCUUGGAAACGAGGGAGUGCCUUCGGGAGCGCAGAGACAGGUGGUGCAUGGCUGUCGUCAGCUCGUGUCGUGAGAUGUUGGGUUAAGUCCCGCAACGAGCGCAACCCACGUCUUUAGUUGCCAGCAUUCAGUUGGGCACUCUAGAGAGACCGCCGGUGAUAAACCGGAGGAAGGUGUGGAUGACGUCAAGUCAUCAUGCCCCUUACAUCCUGGGCUACACACGUACUACAAUGCUACGGACAAAGGGCAGCAAGCUCGCGAGAGUAAGCAAAUCCCAUAAACCGUGGCUCAGUUCAGAUCGUAGGCUGCAACUCGCCUACGUGAAGGAGGAAUCGCUAGUAAUCGCAGGUCAGCAUACUGCGGUGAAUACGUUCCCGGGCCUUGUACACACCGCCCGUCACACCAUGGAAGUUGGCCAUGCCCGAAGUCGUUACUCCAACCCUUGUGGAGGAGGAC
RNAcentral lists this ribosomal RNA (984 nucleotides) under uncultured cyanobacterium. Its description in RNAcentral is "bacterial SSU rRNA". It matches the Rfam family "Bacterial small subunit ribosomal RNA", at positions 471 to 1454 of the family's 1533-position model. Lineage: Bacteria; Bacillati; Cyanobacteriota. The record is from RNAcentral.